GUUCCCACAAUUCCCCCUCUGAAGAAAUGCUACCUGGUUUCAUCUACAUCCUGUUUUCAGUGGCUUGCAAUAAAUGGACCAGUGACCCCUCGUGCCUGUGGAUGGGGGCAUUGUCAUCCUGGAAGAGGGUCCCUGGAAGAGGGAAAUGUGCAUCUAGUAACCUUGGCUCCCUGGCCUGUGUCACGAUUGAAACUGGGCCCACAAAUCCUCUGAAUCAACAGAUACUCCUGAGCUGACACAAACAGCCCUUAUCUCCCUGGAGCAGCUGUGGUGGAGGAAGGAGAGCAAGAGGAGGAGGAAGGUGAAGGGAACCGCAAAGGGGCGGUCGUGCCUUCUCGUUCGAUCCGGCACAUGGUCGGGUACAGGAAAAUGUGUGUUGGGCUUUGAGAUGAGACCUGUGGGACAGAUCUGCCUAUAAAAGGGCUUUUGUGGUCUGGCUUUACUCCAGUAUCUCUGCGGAGCAUCCAGACCUGGCACCCUACCACUGAAAGAUACAAGGGGCAUAUGGAACCAGCCAGCUCUGCCUAAGGAGACAGAAUCACAGCUUCCAGAUGGAGCCAUUGUACCAUCCGCUUCCCCCACCCAGUCCGUUUCAGUUUAGAUCUGAGAGUUCAGAGCACAGUAAAUGACUCUGAACUCAAAAACUAUUUUACAAAUACUGUUUUUUAAAAUAAAUAUAUGGCUGUCUGACUUUG
This is a long non-coding RNA of Anguilla rostrata (American eel), 695 nucleotides long. RefSeq lists it as uncharacterized. The transcript is spliced from 5 exons. NCBI's taxonomy places the organism in Eukaryota, Metazoa, Chordata, Actinopteri, Anguilliformes, Anguillidae. The record is from RefSeq and is a predicted model, not a curated record.